CAUAAAUUUGGGCCUUAAAAGUCAAAACGGUGCUGGGAGAUAUUUGAAAAAUGACCGUUGUUAACUUUUGAUAAAUAGCCGUUACAUUUCAGAGACUCGUUGAGGCAAAUAAAAACAGUCUCUCUCCUUCUUCGUCUCGGAAAUCCAGAAAGACUCUCUUCUUCUUCUCUCUUUUUUCUUCUUCAUCAUCAUUAGUCAACUCCUCUCAAAUCUCCGGUUCGAACAAAUUGGGCAGAGGAAAAACAUUUCUGAUCGGUGGAGUUCAAGUUUGAAUCUGCUGGAGGUGGAGUAAUCUUGUACAUUCAAGGUUAAAACUGGGUCGGAAUAAAUUCGUGAAUUCGGUCCUUUGCUUCGGUGGUUAUGAAUCAUUUAUUUAUUUAUUUAUUUGUAGAAUACAAGGGGCAGUUUCUCUGUUAUGUAAAUUAAUGUAUAAUCUUUGAAUGUAGUUGUGGGUUAUGUGUUGUAGAGGAGGAUCAAGUAAACUGGAAAAGUACAAAUAAAAAUGGAAAAUUUUUCGCUUGGGAGAGAAGAGACCGCUGCGGGAUUGCCUCAUUGAUCCAGGGCUCUUCUUCUCUUGUGUGUAUGUAUGUGUGCGUGUGGGUGUGUUGCUUUCUUUCCCCUUUACAUUUGCCUCUCAACAUUCUCUUUUCAAUUUCUCUUAUUUUCCAACUCCUCAUUCUUCUUCACUUAUUCCCUUUUUUCAUAAUUCCUAUCUCUUUUUCUUUCCACUGUAUUUUCUCCUUUUUUUUCUUUAUAUUUUGCCUCUAGUUUUUUUCCCUGCUUUCUCUACAUAAUUUAUCUCUUCUUUGCCUUUCUAAUUUCUUUCUUUCUUUUAUCUCUUUACUUUCUUCUUUUGUUUUAUCUCUCCUUGGUUUCUCACUUAUUUUCUUUACUCACUUUUUCUUUCAACAUUCUCUUUCCUUUUGUUUUUCCCUCUAAUUUCAUGCUCUAUUUUCUCACUAUAAAUUUCUUAUCUUCUUUUCUUCCUCUAUUUUCUUUUCACAUUUUCUUUCUAUUUUCUCUUUAAUUUCUCUUCACUCUCUAGUAUCUUUAUUAAUAUUGCCUAUGAGUAAUUGUCUGUUUCAAUUGUUAAUAAUGCCUAAUUUUAUAAAAUUUCAUUUAUGUCCUUGAACGGUUAUAAAAUAAAAAAUUACAAAAUACUAUUAGAUUCAGUUAAUUUUGUUAAAAUUAGAUACAAGAAACAAGAAAGAAAAGAAAUAAUAAGCAUAUAUAUAUAACCUUGAAACAUUCAAAAUUGAUAUUUAAAACAAAAA
Molecule: long non-coding RNA, 1274 nt
Organism: Ziziphus jujuba (common jujube)
Lineage: Eukaryota; Viridiplantae; Streptophyta; Magnoliopsida; Rosales; Rhamnaceae
Exons: 2
Source: RefSeq, a predicted model, not a curated record